CCGCCGCGGUAAUACGUAGGGGGCAAGCGUUGUCCGGAAUUACUGGGCGUAAAGGGCGCGUAGGCGGUUUUUUAAGUCAGAUGUGAAAGUCCAGGGCUCAACCGUGGAAUAGCAUUUGAAACUGAAGGACUUGAGUGCAGGAGAGGAGAGCGGAAUUCCUAGUGUAGCGGUGAAAUGCGUAGAUAUUAGGAAGAACACCAGUGGCGAAGGCGGCUCUCUGGACUGUAACUGACGCUGAGGCGCGAAAGCGUGGGUAGCGAACAGGAUUAGAUACCCUGGUAGUCCACGCCGUAAACGAUGAGUGCUAGGUGUUGGGGAAUCUCAGUGCCGGAGUUAACACAAUAAGCACUCCGCCUGGGGAGUACGACCGCAAGGUUGAAACUCAAAGGAAUUGACGGGGGCCCGCACAAGCAGCGGAGCAUGUGGUUUAAUUCGAAGCAACGCGAAGAACCUUACCAGGACUUGACAUCAACUGACGAUCUAAGAGAUUAGAUUAUUCCUUCGGGAACAGAAAGACAGGUGGUGCAUGGUUGUCGUCAGCUCGUGUCGUGAGAUGUUGGGUUAAGUCCCGCAACGAGCGCAACCCUUGUAUUUAGUUGCUAACAGGUGAGGCUGAGCACUCUAGAUAGACUGCCGGUAAGAAACCGGAGGAAGGUGGGGAUGACGUCAAAUCAUCAUGCCCCUUAUGUCCUGGGCUACACACGUGCUACAAUGGUCUGUACAAAGGGAAGCGAGAUAGCGAUAUGGAGCCAAUCCCAAAAAGCAGAUCCCAGUUCGGAUUGCAGGCUGCAACUCGCCUGCAUGAAGUCGGAGUUGCUAGUAAUCGCGGAUCAGCAUGCCGCGGUGAAUGCGUUCCCGGGCCUUGUACACACCGCCCGUCACACCACGAGGGUUGGCAACACCCGAAGUCAGUGAGCGAACCGUAAGGAGGCAGCUGCCGAAGGUGGGGUUGAUGAUUGGGGUGAAGUCGUAACAAGGUAACCA
RNAcentral lists this ribosomal RNA (984 nucleotides) under uncultured Gram-positive bacterium. Its description in RNAcentral is "bacterial SSU rRNA". It matches the Rfam family "Bacterial small subunit ribosomal RNA", at positions 512 to 1502 of the family's 1533-position model. The record is from RNAcentral.